CCUACGGGUGGCAGCAGUGAGGAAUAUUGGUCAAUGGGCUUACGCCUGAACCAGCCAAGUCGCGUGAGGGAAGACUGCCCUAUGGUUUGUAAACCUCUUUUGUCAGGGGGCAAGUGGCGCUACGUGUAGCGUUAUCGAGAGUACCUGAAGAAAAAGCAUCGGCUAACUCGGUGCCAGCAGCCGCGGAAAUACGGAGGAUGCGAGCGUUAUCAGGAUGUAUUGGGUUAAAGGGGUGCGUAGGCGUAACGCCAAGUCAGCGGUAAAAUCGCGGGGCUCAACCUCGCUCCGCCGUUGAAACUGGCGUUCUUGAGUGGGCGAGAAGUAUGCGGAAUGCGUGGUGUAGCGGUGAAAUGCAUAGAGAUCACGCAGAACUCCGAUUGCGAAGGCAGCAUACCGGCGCCCAACUGACGCUGAAGCACGAAAGCGUGGGUAUCGAACAGGAUUAGAUACCCUGGUAGUC
This 460-nucleotide ribosomal RNA is filed under the name uncultured bacterium. RNAcentral's name for it is "partial 16S ribosomal RNA". It matches the Rfam family "Bacterial small subunit ribosomal RNA", at positions 338 to 795 of the family's 1533-position model. The record is from RNAcentral.